RNAcentral lists this ribosomal RNA (372 nucleotides) under uncultured Allobrachymonas sp. RNAcentral's name for it is "bacterial SSU rRNA". It matches the Rfam family "Bacterial small subunit ribosomal RNA", at positions 1011 to 1382 of the family's 1533-position model. The record is from RNAcentral. Lineage: Bacteria; Pseudomonadati; Pseudomonadota; Betaproteobacteria; Burkholderiales; Comamonadaceae.
AGUGCUCGCAAGAGAGCCGGAACACAGGUGCUGCAUGGCUGUCGUCAGCUCGUGUCGUGAGAUGUUGGGUUAAGUCCCGCAACGGGCGCAACCCUUGUCAUUAGUUGCCAUCAUUUGGUUGGGCACUCUAAUGAGACUGCCGGUGACAAACCGGAGGAAGGUGGGGGAUGACGUCAAGUCCUCAUGGCCCUUAUGGGUAGGGCUUCACACGUCAUACAAUGGUCGGUACAAAGGGCUGCGAUACCGCGAGGUGGAGCGAAUCCCAGAAAGCCGGUCUCAGUUCGGAUUGGGGUCUGCAACUCGACCCCAUGAAGUCGGAGUCGCUAGUAAUCGCAGAUCAGCAACGCUGCGGUGAAUACGUUCCCGGGCCUU